GUCCGAGUGCUGAAAUAGGUAGACAGGGUAAAUUUAAAUCUUACUGGUGCAAACCAUGAAAGUUCGAUUCUUUCCUCGGAUA
RNAcentral lists this transfer RNA (82 nucleotides) under Gomphillus americanus. Its description in RNAcentral is "tRNA-Leu". It matches the Rfam family "tRNA". From Rfam's summary of the family: Transfer RNA (tRNA) molecules are approximately 80 nucleotides in length. Their secondary structure includes four short double-helical elements and three loops (D, anti-codon, and T loops). The record is from RNAcentral. Lineage: Eukaryota; Fungi; Ascomycota; Lecanoromycetes; Ostropales; Graphidaceae.